CAGGCAGUAUGGGCUCUUGGCAAUGUCGCUGGCGACUCUCCGAAGUGCCGAGAUCUCGUCUUGAAUAGCAAUGCCAUGAUGCCUUUGCUAGCACAGCUGAACGAGAAUGCGAAGCUGUCUAUGCUGCGCAACGCAACGUGGACGCUAUCAAACUUUUGUCGUGGCAAGCCGCAGCCGAACUUUGAGCAGGUAUGUGGGUCAUUUGUAGGCAUGUCGAUACAAAUUUGAUCGUUGGUCGGUGUUGUUUCUUGCAGUCGAGACCUGCUUUAUCUGCUCUAGAAAAGCUGAUUCAUUCGACUGACGAAGAAGUCCUUACUGAUGCAUGCUGGGCUUUGUCAUACAUAUCCGAUGGUACAAACGAUAAGAUUCAAGCUGUCAUUGAGGCCGGUGUGUGUCCACGUCUUGUGAGUCUACUCAUGUAAGUCGUGUCUUUAGCUGUGACUUUUAACUGGGCUGACGUUCCUGGUUCCAGGUAUCCUUCACCGAAUGUUCUCAUUCCUGCUCUUCGUACGGUGGGAAACAUUGUGACUGGUGACGAUGUCCAAACGCAGGUAAACUUGAAACGGAACAUCCUAGAUAUUUCUUACGCCUGUCUUUAAAUUUAUUUCCAGUUUAUCAUAAACAAUGGAGCGCUGCCAUAUUUGUUACAUCUUCUUACCAAUGUUUACAAGAAGAGCAUAAAAAAGGAGGCUUGCUGGACAAUCUCGAACAUCACUGCCGGCAACAAGGACCAAAUUCAGGCCGUCAUUGAAGCCAACAUCAUUCCGCCUCUCGUGGAACUUCUUGCCAACGCAGAGUUUGACAUAAAGAAAGAGGCAGCGUGGGCUAUUUCCAAUGCAACCUCUGGCGGUACACAUGAACAAAUCAAGUAGGUUGUCAAUGCGCUGAGACGCUGUAUCUGACUCUGGAGACGCAGGUAUCUCGUGAACCAGGGAUGCAUCAAGCCUCUGUGCGACCUUCUCAACUGUUCCGAUGCCAAGAUCAUUGUGGUGGCCUUGGAGGGCCUAGAAAACAUCCUCAAGGUCGGCGAGACGGAGAAGGACCUGGGAAACACUGGCUCCAUCAACAUCUACGCUAAGUUCAUCGACGAGGCGGAGGGCCUGGAGAAGAUCGAGAAGCUGCAAACCCACGACAACAACGAGAUAUAUGACAAGGUGAUCAAGAUCCUCAACAGCUACUGGGUGGAGGAGGACGAGGAGAACGUCGCUCCAGGUGUAGCUCCGGCCCCCGGACCAUUUGCAUUCGGGAAUCAGCCUACUGUGCCAAGCGGUGGCUUUAAUUUCGGUUGAGGUAUGUCUUUUCCUUUCCCUGGAUCUCUCGAGUGACUGACUUGGUGUUUCUGUGGUAGAAGAACAUCAUCGAGUCGGGAGAAGAGAUUUACUUGGUCCGCGAUGUGAGCAGCAUCCGCGAUCUGUGGCAGACGAAGCUGUGCUGGUGUAAAGUCGAGUUGAGUUUGAGCUAGUCGAUGGUCGACAAGCUUUUUGCAGACCCACCGGGGGAAGGAGAGGGUCUUGUAGAACAGCAGCAAGCUCUUGCUGUCAAAGCAACGUCUCGUAUUUGAGACGGUGCUCUUGUCUUUGUUUAGCCGGACGUGCUAAGUGCGGUGGUCGUUGUUGUGGCGGUGGCGUCUCCUCCUUUGUCCGAGGAUCGUCAUCGCUGCUACUAUUACAAGGAGUGGAUUUUGGGUUAUAAAAGAGUCUAUUACAAAUUCGAUGUAUGCAAGGAUUUAAAUGAAUGAAUGCAUGAAUGAGUUGAAUGUCCUUGAUGCUUCAAGCUUUUUGCAACUCCUUGGAAGACUUGAAGGUUUGGAUCGCCAGCUUUGACUGCGUCGAGGAGGCUUUUGAGAAGAUGCCGGCCAGAGAUGCUGUGGUGAUGUAUGCCCAGACAGGGCAUCUGGAGGCGUAUAAGUCAAUGUAAUGAUCCGAGCUUAUGCCCAGCACGCAAAAGAUUGUUUGGAAGAUGCUUGGACUCUGAUUCUUGCGCUUGCUUCCGAAAAACAUAUAUAUGACACAAACUGGACUCGACUUCACACCAUCACAGCUUCGUCUGCCACAGAUCACUGACGCUAUUCACAUCGCGGACCAAGCAAAUCUCUCUUCUCCUCUCUCCUGCAAACGGGGCAAAUGCAGUCCUGUUUGAAAGGAUGCCUCAAAGAGACGAGGUAAUGACAUGCCCGAGCACGAUGUAGUGGUGACAACCGCAAUCAUGAAAAGCAUAUGCCCGCUCCGGGCAUCUUUACCGUGUGAAUGUUUUCGAGGUGUCCUGGAGUGUGUUGGUUCUUGCGGUGAGCUAGAUCGAGCGCAGCAAAUGGUUGAGUUGACUUUUUAAACCAUUCAUUUAAACCCAUACUUUAUCGAAAUACCCAAGAGACGAUGCUGUGCUGGGGCAUACGGAGCCGAGGAAAUAAGUUCUUUUGAGCAAGGUUAUCAAAGCAAUUCCUCGCAUCAAUCCUUUUGACCCAACCAUAAGCAGGCCGUCACAACAACCACAUUCGUUUGAAUUCCAAUAUCACGCGAGAGACGAGAUAGUCUCAGGGACACAAAAAAUGUUACGUGACCACGAGUCUAAACAAGCUGGUUCUCUCGAGCUCUCCCCGGAAGUACGGUAUUCCAGGCGUCCAAGCGAGGUCACAUUCUUGCAGCCAUGGAGGCUUGGUACCAGAAGGCUUGAGUUUGUUUUGUUCGCUGGAGCCUCUUAAUCCCAGGUCUAUGCACCGCUCUAGCAGAGCUUAGGGAACGCUUGGACUUAAAUAUCUCUGGACAGAUUCUUUGUGUUUGUUUUAGAUUGAUCAUUCAAUCUUGCAACACACUCCCACGCGCGCUGGAGCUGCGCUCGCGAAUCUCGAUUCCAAGCUGCUGCAAGAGAGAGAUCUGCGGAAAGCAUUUGGCGUGCAAGAUCCAACCCGUCGAAGGAAUGCUAAAAAAACGGCGUAAGCGUACCUAAAGACUUGGAUUGGAACUGACAAAGACGAUCUCAGAUAUACACUACGGAGAAUGGUCCAUUGUUGUAAAUUAAUCAACGAUUUUAGUUGAAGCUCCACAAAGGAAGAUUGAAGUUUCAUGGCUUGAAUUCUUUGAAACACUUCCCAGGGCGAAUUCCUCCAUCGUUUUUACAGCAUUGGAGAAUUUACAAUAUUUGAAUUCGUCGUGUUUAGAUCACGAGCAGGGUUUCUGGUGAGCCGUGUCUGGUCUGACGAUCCCACCUGAAGCUACUGUCUGGUAGCUGCCUUGUUCUUUUUGAUGGAAGUCUAUCUUUUCUUGGUACUGACAUGGGUGUUUGUGAAGAGCGAAGCCCUCCGAUCGAAGAGGUCAUCAAGGCAGGCGUGGUUCCUCGAUUUGUAGAGUUUUUGAAGCGCCACGAUUUCCACCAGCUUCAGGUAUGCCCAUUUUUUUUCCUUGCGGUGUUUGGGUCGUUAAUAGGAGUUUUAAUGAGCAGUUCGAAGCUGCCUGGGCUCUUACAAAUAUUGCGUCCGGCACUUCCGAUCACACGACGGUGGUUAUAAACCAUGGAGCUGUGCCUAUCUUCGUGCAGCUUCUUUCAUCUCCCAGUGAGGAUGUCCGCGAGCAGGUGAGGUUUUCACUUGUAUUUCCAAAGCCUGGAAUCUGACAUUGCCUCGUACCGCAGACAGUAUGGGCUCUGAUACAAAAGGCAGCGACUGCUGGCAACGACUGCUCAUAUUGUAUAUAUGAAGCUAUAUAUACAUGGGCUGUGGCAACUGCCUAAUGCCACAUCAUCCUAACUGCCUAGCUAAGCAUCUACCUGAGCAUCUACUCUCAACACUCCCACUCAGGCGUGUCUACAAACUAAGACAAAGCCUGAACAUAAGAUGCUCAGCAUGCAUACAACUGAUGAGGAAAACCUGCAAAAAGAAAAAACUCAUCUGAACUGGUGGUACUCCACUGACUCCCACUCAAAGCGACUACAUCUUGUUGCUCUAGGGCUUGCUGCCUCUGCUACUCUUGGCUGCUUUGCCAUCACUCCUUUGGCUGUUGCUGCUCCUCUCUUGGAGCUCUUUUGCCACUGCUGGGCUUCUCAGCCAACUCUGCCGCUGCUAUCUGCUGCCGCUCACUUGGCUGCUGCUGCUCCUCUCUUCGAGCAUCUUGGCCACUCCUGCCGCCGUUCUGCUUCUCGGCCUGCUGAGUCACUGCUCUGCUGCUCCUGGGCUUCUUGGCUGCUCUGCUGCUCCUUUCUUGGAGCAUAUCAGCAUCUUCUGCCGCUCCAGGGCUUCUGAGUCGCUACUAUCUGCCACUCCUCGCUGCUGGUAUGGCUCUGCCAUUGCUUUGUUGCUGCUCUCUAGGCUACUCUGCUUCUGCCGUUGGCAUCUGGAAGCUUCUUCUUCUUCUUCAUCCUUCACAGGUCCUCAAGAUCUGUGCUCCGAUACCAUGAUACAAAAGGCAGCGACUGCUGGCAACGACUGCUCAUAUUGUAUAUAUGAAGCUAUAUAUACAUGGGCUGUGGCAACUGCCUAAUGCCACAUCAUCCUAACUGCCUAGCUAAGCAUCUACCUGAGCAUCUACUCUCAACAGGCUCUUGGCAAUGUUGCUGGCGACUCUCCGAAGUGCCGAGAUCUCGUCUUGAAUAGCAAUGCCAUGAUGCCGUUGCUAGCACAGCUGAACGAGAAUGCGAAGCUGUCUAUGCUGCGCAACGCAACGUGGGCGCUAUCAACCUUUUUUCGUGACAAGUCGCAGCCGAACUUUGAGCAGGUAUGCGUGCGAGGCAUGUCGAUACAAAUUGCGAUCGUUGGUCGGUGUUGCUUCAUGCUGAAUAAAUUAUCUGGUACAGAGAACUCAUGAAUCUGUGCUGUGUUUGCCUUUCAGCUCCACGAGGAGGUGGCUGAAAACAUUGAAUGCCUUGCUCGAGACGCCCAGAUCCUUGGCAUCCCGCAGCGCAGUCGAGACCUGCUUUAUCUGCUCUAGAAAAGCUGAUUCAUUCGACUGAUGUGGUAGUCCUUACUGAUGCAUGCUGGGCUUUGUCAUCCGUAUCCGAUGGCAUAAACGAUGAGAAGCUGUCAUUGAGGCCGGCGUGUGUCCACGUCUUGUGAGUUUAAGUCGUGUCUUUAGCUCUGACUUUUAACUGGGCUGACGUUCCUGGUUUCAGGUAUCCGUCACCGAAUGUUCUCACACUGUAGAGGCUUGAUUGAGUUCUAAGCUGGAAGGCAUCACUGUGAGCCCACUCUAUACUUACGACGAAAUCACUUUUGUUUUUUGCAAGAAGCAGCCACCAUGGAGUUCGUUGCAAAUGUGGCUGCCUUUGAGUGCUUCAGCAAACGUGGAUGCAGGAACUUGGUCGCUCAACUCUACUACCAUGAAAAAACUUAUGGCGUGAUAAUACCAUGCCAGGUCUGUUCCUGCGAGCAGCUAGAUCAUUGCACUUUGGUAUUGACAGAUCAAUUUCUGGCACGCUUCUCUCCUUUGGGCAAUCUUUGCAAGCAGCUCAAUCUGGAAGGAGUGAAAGAGAACGAGGUUCUCUUGCAACAACAACAGCAACAGCUAUUUGAAGUCACGAGGACCUCACUGCUGGUGCGGAGUUGUGGACAUGCAGGCUGAAGGAUGGCAAGCAGCUCAUCGCGAAGGUUUGUGGUGGCAGUGAAGGUACUUGCAAAGUUGCAGGUGUUGCCAUUGUCCCAUUCCUGUUUGUAUGUUAUGCAGUGUAGAGUGAAGUUUAGGGCAGUUUCAAUGUGGUUUUCCCAGGGUAGUUUGGAUCCCUCCUAAUUACCAACUUUUGAGUGUAGGUGAUGUUGUCCUACUUGAUAGUGCGCCAGGAUUCUAGGGUGGUGUUGUAGCUAGCAAUACCGAUAAGCCAUUACGGGUUGAUGGUCAAUAAAUAGUGUUGUAAUUUUGUGUCAUGCCCCUUCUCAAGCCAAUGAUCUGGGACAUCUAUGGUAUUUUCGUGGAGUGUGUCAAAAUCCAUGCGUAGAUCUCUUUUCCAGAACCACAGAUUGUGCCACCACCCUUUACUGGUGUCCUCAGCAAGGUAUCUUAAGUAGUGUAUAUGAUGUUGAGGAUGUAUUGCAUUGUGUUUAUCUAGACAAGCUAGAUUCCAUAACUACAAUCUCAAUCCACUUUGUUGCAACCAAAUUCAGCAUUAAGGACAAAUGGUUAAGUUGUUCCAUUUUUGCUGUAGUCCAGAUAUAUUAUGUAUGUGCAUCCAUAAGAAAAUAUUAGCUUGUGACUGCUUGAAUGCAUUUUAUUGCCCUAGCCUUCCACAAAUUCUUUUAGUGGACCAUAUACCCAAGGUACUUGUAGUUUUCUACUCAUUAUUGUCAUUUCUGUAUGGUGGACAGCUAAAUACUAUGACUUGUGUUUUUGUGGGUUGAUAUGGGAUACCUUUGCUUGGCACCUAUCAUGCAUUCUACUGGUUGACUUAGGUAUUUUACAAGAAUUGUUGUAUAGAGCUGUUGAAUGGCUUGUAACAGCUUCUGGAGUGUUAGGCACCACAAUUGAUCACUUUUUUUGCCAAUUGGAUUAGGGUGUAAAGGAUAGGAUUUCCUUGUUAAAAUAGUUCCCUUAUUGAAUUCUAUCCAAAAUAGUUGCUUCUUCUAGUAUGUCUUAUGUUCAUGCAUAUAACUGGAUGAACUAACACUUUCUACUUUAUAUUUCUCCACAGCUAGAACAUGGCUACCAUUGUUUGCUUUUUAUCACUCCAAAAUAUGGCUAAAAUAUAACUUGAUUAUAAUUGGCAAGAGUCUGAACAUUCCGCCUAAUCUGAGUCACUAAUAGUGUGGAGUCUAAGUAUCUCAAACCAAAGGAUGAAGUACCACAUAAGUAACAAAAAAAUUGUUUUACAACCAUCUAAUGUUGUUUAUUUAUUUGGCUUACCAGGCUUAUGGAGUAAAAUAGAUUAGGUCUUAUACAAACCACAUAAUAUUGAAAUAUGGUAUAGUGGCCAUCUCUUGUUUUACUUGCUCUAUCAAAGGAGAACUUUCACAAGUGAGUUUUAGACUUGUGAGCAUAUGUAUUAGAGUAGGAGUACUACACUUAUAGAAAACCAUUGGAGAAUGUCCUUAAUGUAUUUGCUCUAGUGGAGAACAACAGAGUUAUCCUUGGGAUUUUGAGUCAAUAGUAUCUCAAAAUGAGAUGAAAAGACCUUUUUAAUCUUAGCUAAAAACUUAUAUUGUUGCAAAUGAGUACAUAAUCAUUGACAUAAACAAUAAUUUAGAUUAUGUUUUUUUAUUGUAGUAUAUAUGACCAUGGGAUGAGAUUUAGAUAUACUAUCAUUAUAGAUCCUUAAAACCUUAGGGAAUAAAUAAGGAUAAAAUAGCUACUAAGACUUUUGUUUACCUUAAGGGGAGAAAGAUAAAGUAUAGGUAUUGGAGUAAAUAAGGUUUAUUUUAGUCUGUAAAUUAAUUUAAUGAGUCUCUAAAUGUAGUUCUCUUGUCUAAGAACUUUAUAUCCUUCUAAUAAUCCAUCCCAACUACUUGUGAAUAGCCCUUGGCCACAAGAGCUUUGCCUUGUAACAAGAGAUUAAAUCAUCUGGAUUUACCUUAAUUUAUAAGGAUUUUACCAAAUUUUUGUUGCAAAGUGAUUGUGGGUAUUGAAAGUUAUAUGUUGGCAAGUCUUUUUAGAUAUUCUUCUCUUAUUGUCACAAUAACAAAAGAUCAAUAUUGCUAAUUCUUAGUCCCUUUUAUUCAAGUGUUAAUAAACUAAACUUAAUAUUUAUAUAUAUCUUCACAUUAGGCCAUGGUAUGCUAAAAUAAUGCUAAAUUCCAUUUGGCUCUGUUGGACUUCCUAGAAGCUCACCCAACCCAAUAUCACUUAAACCCAAGGACAUUUAACUCUAAAUAUCUUAAAACCCUUAACUAAUUGGGAAAGAAAAUGCACUCUUAUUUAUGGGCCCUUUUCCUAAACCCUUAUAAAUCAUCUCUCAAAUUAUUUCUUUUUAAUUGCUUACAAUCCAUUAUGUUUCUUUAUAAGUUCACACCUUUGUGAAUGGAAGUUGAGAGCUAUAGCUCUCUUAAGAUUCCCACUCUUUUAACAUCCUACCCUCGAAUCAAACUUAACCAAACCAAAUUAUACCAUCUAUUAUAAGUAAAAAAGGAUGUAUGUUCUAGAAGGGGAAUUAAGGAAAGUAGCUUUAAAAGAGUGUUAUGAUGGACCUCUUGCGGGACACGGCAGAGUGCCCAAAAUGAUGGGCUUAUUCAAGAGGAAGUAUCACUGGCUAGGUAUGGUUAAAGACAUUCAAGACUAUGUAAAGACAUAUUCAACAUAUCAGUAGGUUAAAGCCAUGACUAAAGCUAGUGGGGGCUUGUUACAAAGCAUCCCAAUUCCAAAUCAUCCCUAGAAAUGUCUUAUGAUGGACUUCAUCACAGGAUUUUUCCCAAGUGAGGGGUUUGAUAUGAUAUUCGUGGUGGUGGACUGAUUUUCAAAGAUGGCACAUUUUAUACCCACCACAACGAAAGUGGAUGUGGAAAGUGUGGCAAAGCUAUUCUUUGAACAAGUGGUUCGAGUGCGGGAAAGGCUAAAGGAGAUAAUUUCAGAUCAAGAUAAGAUCUUCACUAAUAGGUUCUAAAGAAGUCUCCUGGAACAGUAUCGCACCAAGUUGAAAUUCAGCACAAUCUAUCACCCAUAGACAAGUAUUGGGUAUUAAAUCAAGUUGGAUGACACUAACACUUCUUGGUAGAUGGACAAACAGAAAGGGUGAAUAGGCAGCUGGAGGAUUAUUUGCAAUGCUAUGUCUUUGGAGACCAGACUGAUUGGGUAAAUCAUUUGGGACUUGCAAAAAUGUGCUAUAACAACUUACCACACUCAAGUAUUAGGGUGAGUUCAUGGGAAGUCAUCAAUGGGCAAGCUAUUGAAGGUCCUAUAUAAUUCUGCGUGGCCAAGUAUCAUGAAGAGUUACCCGCAGUGGAGGUAUUCACAGCGGAAAGAUUCAACAUUUGGAAUCUAAUAAGGGAUUCUUUGGAACAAGUUCAACAAAAGCAAACCAAGUAUGCAAACAAGAAGUGCCGAGAUGUAGAGUUCUAACCUAGGGAGAAGGUGUGGCUGAACACCAAGAACCUAAGGCUACCAAGUGGGAUCAGCUGGAAGUUGACCCAAAGGUAAAAUGCAUGUAUUCUUGGAAAUGAACUGAUCUUGAGUUCCUUAAGCAGGUUCGUGGGGCCUUACAAGUGUAAGUAACCAAAGGGAACGACUUGAGAGACGAUCUAUAGGGGUUCAAAUAUAAAGGGAAAGGGCCCAUGAACAAAAGUGCACCCCCUUUUCAAUUGGUUAAGGGUCUUGGGAUAUUUGGGGUUAAACGUCCUUGGGUUUGAAUAAUACUGGGUUGGGUGGUAAAGUGGCUUACCGCCUCCAACUUCCUCGAGAAAUGGGGAAAAUGCACUUAAUAUUCCAUAUGAACUUAUUCAAACCGUACUUUGAGGAUCCACUUUACAAGGACCAAGUAAAACCUUUAUCUAAGGUUAUCCAAGGGAAAGAGGAAUACAAAGUUGAGGCUAUCCUCAAUGCGCGCAAGAGCAAGCAACAAGGACGCAAAGUAAAGGAGUUCCAUGUAAAGUGGAAAGGAUUUCUAUACUGCGAAGCAACAUGGGAACCAAAGGACAAUCUAGCGAACGCAUGAGAUCUAGUGGAGGAAUUUAUGUAAGGCAGAACUCUAUGUACUUAUAUAAAGUUUAAUUAAAGUAUCAAUUUGUGAAGUUGAGCAAUGGCAUAUGUUGGGACCUAUAGUUGUGCCAAAGGUAAGCUAAUUAACAUAGGUUAGCUAUAUCGACCAAGCAUAGGAAACUACGCUUGACUCUCCACAAGGAUGUAAAUGUAUUUUACAAAAGUUGGGUUCAAGUCUCAACCCUCUAGUAAAGCAAAGUUGGGUUCAAGUCCCAACUUUAUACUAGGGUGUGGUGAGGUGAGGUGUGUAGGAAUACUUAUACUCUAUUGUCAUGGGCUCUUGGCUGGGGAGGCUAACUUAGGCACACCGCUAAGUGGGGGGAUGCCCCGGGAGACAUGGUCAACAAGUCAUAGGAUGUAAAAGAUGUGUUUAAUGUGGGUGUUGAACUUUUUCUAUGGGUGGUGGAGUUGUAAAGAACCAACUCCCUAAAGUGUCGAAGGCUAAAGGAUCUCUGAAAGCACGACCAAAAUGAUAAAGAGUUCAUCAGAUGAAACCGAGUCUGAGAUUGAGUCUGAGAUCGACUCUAAGACCGAGUUUAAGACUGAGUCCGAGACCAACUCUAAGACUGAGUUCAAGACCGAGUCCGAGACCGAGUUUGCGAUCCAAUAUUGGAUCUGAGACCAAGUCCGAGAUCGAGUCCGAGACAGGGUUUGAGGUCGGGUUCGAGAUGGAGUCCGAGAUGGAGUCCGAGACCGAGUCCAAAGUCAAGUCCAAAGUCAAGUCCAAGAUCGAGUCUGAGACCGAGUCCGAAAACUAAUAUAGGUCAUGGGGUGAAAGGCCAAAGCGUGUGUCUCCUGGGGGGGGGGGGGGAGGGGGCUGCAAGGGGUUCCAAAAGUAUAGUAAGGAUAGUGAGGUCCAGAAACUAGUCUUGAAGGAACUCUCCAGUAGUGCUUCCAAACUAACUUGAGGUUGAGACUGAGGCGAAGGGGCUUUGGGUGGGAGUGAGCAUGGAUUCGGGUGGUGCCGGAGGCCACCCAAGGAAGUGCUCAAGAAUAGCUCCUACUCCCAGAAGGGAAAUUGACUGUGGUGCUCCCGGCUCAUGUGGAGUGGUGCCCCACUUGAGUACCUUGCGGCUGUAGUGCAUGUGGUUUUAAUCCUUUAUCAUAUGGGGCUUUACCAUAAGAUAACACCAUGAAGCGGAACCUAAACCCUCUUUAUGCCAUGUGUCACAUGCCACGUGUCCAUAGAACAGUGGUGUGGAACCCGAGGUUCAAGGCCUUGGGCCACUGAACGAAGGAACAAUGCCAAACUCCCAAGCAUGGAGCCAAGGAGUGAUGAAACCGAACCAUGGAGCAAUUCUCGAGCAUACAGCCCAAGGAGCGAAGGGACAAGAGCCCAAAGCGAUUGGAACAGUCCUAGAGCAACCAGCAUCCCAAUGCCAGGACCAACAUACAAAACGGAGCCCAACAAGGUUUGGCGCUAUUUCAGCAUACCAGUGGCCUAACGCAAGGACAUGGGUACUCCACUAGCUAGCAUGGUGUGGAACUUGGGCUUAGACCCAAGUUGGAUGCAGAACAAAGACAGACACGCAAGCAGGAGCUAGACUAUGCCUACUAUACAUUUGGAACCCUUUACAGAUUAAAUACAUACACGAAGAAAUGAUUUGCAAUGAGGUGUGAUAUCAUUACUUAUAUUCACUUCAUGCAAUCAAGAGUUUUUAUUUUGAUGCAUGUUAAUUAUGAUGGUCUUACAAGUGGUGAGUCAUAAGUGGAUAGUGGUGAAAUGCUAAAUCAUUUUGUUUAGACUUGCUAUUGCAAUACUUAAUUCUUUUCCAAAGAACUUUGUUACUAUUCCUUAGGUAACUUGGUGUUAAAUUAAUUUUGAGUUUUGUCAAGUAUAAACUUGCUGAUGUUAUAAUUGAAGUUAGUGGUGUUAUAUAUAUUAUAAAUCUUUGUAAGUGAAAUAUGAUAUUUAUAUUGCAUUUUGUUACUUGGAGUUGACACUUAAUACUAUAGUAAUGCAAGGCUUGGGGCAUAUCCCAGGUAGGGGAUAUUUCCUCAGCAGUCUCAAUACAAUAUCUUCUCUUAGCUUACUGGCUAUUUCGAAAAGUACAGGUGUCAAGAACAGUCAUUCCAAAAAUGCAAUCUUAGUGUUUUUGGAAAUGAAAUCUAGAGGAAUUCUUCUAGACUCCAUCACUUAGAAAAAACUUUGCAAAGCUGGGUCUCUUCUUGUGGCAAAUCUGAUUAUGAGAAACUAACAUCAACAUGAUGGUAGCUAUUGAAUGUAUGGGAAAUGCUCUGAAUUGUGGGCUGCCGAUUGUGUGUUUUUCUCAAGGUUUGUUUGUACCACUGUGUCUUGGAAUGCCGUGAUUCAGCAUAUGCUCAAAUGGAAAUAUUUGCAAAGUGUUGGGCUUCUUUAUGGACAUAUUUUUGGACAGUGUUUCUCCACACAUUCUUAGUUCUCAUUCAUUCAUUCAUAUUCAUUCAUAAGUUGUUUAUAUUUAUAUAUAUUUACAUACAGUGUUUUGCCAAGUGAGGUUUUAUUCUUAGUUCUAUGCAGCCAUGGAGGCUGGUUCAGAAGGCUUGAGUUUGUUUUGUUCAGGCUCAUGUGUAGCAGAGCUUGGUGCAAAGGCUGGAUGGGGAACGCUUGUUGCACGUGAAGAAAAUAUUGGGGCUUGGACUUUGGCAUUGGCAGCAUUUAUUAGUGAGUGUAGACAGUGCUAAAUAUGCUCUUAAUUUCAUAUGCUUUGUGUAGAUAAUUAUGUAAAUUCUAGUUAUAUUAAAAUCAAUUCAUACAUUCCUUCUCUCACCUACAAGGGAAAACAAAAAUGACUUCUAUAUUGAAGAGUUGCUUGAUUAAUAGAUUGGGAAGCCUCAAAGUGAAAGCUCUGGAUGGCAAUGCGAAUGAGGAGCCAAGAAAAGUGGAAAUUGUUCCCGAGGGAUGGCAAAUCUUGAAGCCCAUUCCCGAGAUCAACAACCUUGGCUCUGCUUCGUCAUCCAAAGGGAUUGGCAUUGGAACUCCAGUAGUAGUCACUGAGGCUCCUCAAAUCCUCAAGACUGCCGAGCCAAUGCCAAUGCUGCGCAAAAACGAUGGAGUAAUUCGCCCUGGGGAUGUUGGCAGGUAAAUCUCUACCACAAAUUCCUUUUUGUACUCAGGAAAAACUGUGCAGGAUAAUUGAUAGGAGACCAAAGAAUGUCUGGGCUGUGAGGUUCGCCAUCGGAGCUUAUCUAAUCGAUGGGAAGUGUUUCAAAGAGUUCAAGCCAUGAAAUUUCAAUCUUCCUUUGUGGAGCUACAACUAAAAUCGUUGAUUAAUUUACAACAACGAACCAUUCAUGGCCGCAGUGUAAUAUAUCUGUGAUCGUCUUUGUCAGGUUUCCACACAGAUUAAACGGGAUCUCUUGUCAUGCCUCGGGAUCCAUUGAUUCGCAGGUAAGCUACGAGCUGGCCGUGUUUUUUAGCAUUCCUUCGACGGGUUGGAUCAUCCACCUGCCAAAUGCUUCCAGCAGAUCACCUCUUCCAGAAGCAGCUUCAAUCUCAACCAAACACAAAGAAUCUAAACCCCGGAGAUGCCCGAUGCGACCUGGGCCUCGUUGAUCUUUUGGGCUCUCUUACCUUUCAGAGAAAAGGUAUAAAAUAAACCUGUCGAUUUGUGGAGUUUUUCCAGCUUAAGUCUAUUUUUUCCUAAAGGUGUUUGGGUCGUUAAUUCGAGUAAUGGGCUCUUACGAAUAUUGCGUCUGGCACUUCCGAUCACACAACGGUCGUUAUAAACCAUGUUCGCAGUUUUAAGCCUUGGAACCUGACAUUGUCUCGUACUACAAGCAGAAUGGGCUCUUGGUAAUGUCGCUGGCGACUCUCCAAAGUGCCGAGACCUCGUCCUGAAUAACAAUGCCAUGACGCCGUUGCUAGCACAGCUGAACGAAAAUGCGGUGCUGUCUAUGCUGCGCACCGCAACGUGGACGCUAUCAACCUUUUGUCGUGGCAAGCCGCAGCCGAACUUUGAGCAGGUAUGCAUGCGGGUCCUUUGUAGGCAUGUCGAUACAGAUUUUGG
Molecule: long non-coding RNA, 13588 nt
Filed under: Selaginella moellendorffii
Lineage: Eukaryota; Viridiplantae; Streptophyta; Lycopodiopsida; Selaginellales; Selaginellaceae
Description: long non-coding RNA (SMOE_LNC000464)
Source: RNAcentral